UUUUAUCUCUUCACAUUUUGUUUUUCAUUAAAUUUCACAUCAACAAUCAAUCGCCGUUCAUUAUCAUCAGCCAUUUCCGCAUCCGCUUACUAAUUCAACACGUUUGUACGCAUCUGGCAAUUCGCAGAAUUAUAACGGCUGGUAAAUGCUAGUUAAGUCGGAAUUUAACACAUUGACAGUUUGAAAUUUUUGCUGAUUUUGAGUAAGCUAAUAUGUGACGUAAACGAUGCUAUUUUAUUGUGUAGUGAAAUACUUGGUUUUGCUUCUAUUCUUUUUCCUCUGUUUCUAUAAUUCUGAAGAUGGAAUUAUUUUAGUAAAAAAAUUUGUUUAUACGAAGCGGUAUUAAUUUUUGAGUUGAUGCCUUUUAGCUCGUGAUCACCGACGAGUCUCAUUUCGGACUGUUAUUGAUCUAGUAAAAAGUAAUCAACGCUUACCAUAACCCAACUGAAGAAUUGGGAUUUCGUUUCAUAAAAAGGUCAUGCAUAAAUAACGGCUCUCGCAAGGUUUCACUUUUAAUGCAUAUUUAUUGUUAAAUGCUGUUUUACAACUGGCUUUGCGGAAUGACUUAAACGAGCAUGGAUGGAUGUAUUUAAUAUAAAUUGUACGCACGAACACGUACGAAGAAUUGUUCGAAUUUACAUGCUGUUAAAAGAAAACUGAACGACGCUUGAUCUAUAUCCGGCCAAGAACUAUCAGCUCUGUCAUUUCCAUCUAAACUAUUCGCUAUGCAACAACUAAUUUGUGAAAAUAGCUGCGAAUUUCGGCUAAGAAAACAUUUCUGAAAUCAAACUUUGUAUUGUGCGAAAAUUAAAAAUAAAUGUUUUGAUAAAAGGAAA
This is a non-coding RNA of Bactrocera oleae (olive fruit fly), 836 nucleotides long. Lineage: Eukaryota; Metazoa; Arthropoda; Insecta; Diptera; Tephritidae. The record is from RefSeq and is a predicted model, not a curated record.